RNAcentral lists this long non-coding RNA (1214 nucleotides) under Mus musculus (house mouse). RNAcentral describes it as "long non-coding RNA chr3:27338450-27339664". Lineage: Eukaryota; Metazoa; Chordata; Mammalia; Rodentia; Muridae. The record is from RNAcentral.
UUCUUUGCUGAGUUCUAGCCCAACAAGCCAUCUGACUUGAAGACUAAGACGAGCCUGCCACCUGGGCAAGCACAGGGACAAUGAUCCCAGGGCAGAGGCCAGCUCUGCUGUUUUGAGAAGUGUCUAGGCAAAAGCUUUCUUUCUUUUUUUUUUUUUUUCAGACCAAAAGGGGCCUCUUUAAUGUCACACACCAUUAGUGCCACCAGGUGGCGAGGUUCCCUUAAUUUCUUCAGUAUCAAGUCUUUUAAAAGUGUAUGAGUAUAAACAUCUUCAAAUUCUCGGGUUUAAAAACAAAAUCAAAAAUGAAAAAAGGUCGCUUACCUUUAGACCAUAGGCAACUGGAGCUAAAGACAAGAGAUAAGCUGGUGUACCCCGAUGGAGCAGCAGGCUUUAACUGAAUCUGUGAGGAACAGGGUGGGGCUUCACAUGGUAAAACUGAAUCUGAGGUGUGUUCUUUUGCCUGUUUGGGUUGUUGCUGUUGUUACUGCUUUGUUUUGUUUUUUUGUUUUUAAGUGAAACAGAAUUUAAGUCUUUUGGAAGACUUUUGUAAAUUCUCUUGGUCCCAAGGGAGGGCUCUGUGACGUCUGGAGUCUCAACAGUUUGGUCUUUGCCCUGUCUCCUGUUAUUAUAGACUGUGGCCUUUGCCACUCCAUCACUGCCUACUGUUUUUCUUGGAGACAGGGUCUCUCCCAUUACGGGCAGCCAGCAGUGCCCUGAGAGUCUCUUGACAUGUGGCCAUGAAGGCUUUUUACAAGGAUGCUGGGGAUUUGAACCCGGGUUCUCAUGCUUGAGCCAUAACUGCUCUUACCCUAGAACUGUCUCCCCAGUCCAAUCACUGCUACUAUUUUUUUUUCUUGGCAAAUCAAUUCAGUUCUUUAGUUUUCUUUCAAGUAUUGUUUUACCUAUUUAUCAUAUUUAUCACUUUCAUUAUCAAUGUUAGAAAUUUUGUUUAGCCAGCCUUUUUACUUAUUCUUGAAAUAAAGGGUUAAAUAGAUAUUUUUUCAGUUGUGAGACAUGAAAAUCUUAGAAAGAAUUUUUCUUUUCUUUUUCCUUUCAUUUUAAUAGCAGUGAAUCUAGAAAGAGAAUUAUUUUUCAUGGUGAUUAUUUCAAAUGUAUUGAUACCAUUUUGUGGGCUGGGAAAUGUUAAACUUUGUAAACUCUGAAACGCACAAAGUGUUGCUUUGAAUUUCACCUUAAUAAAAAUAACAUCAAGU